RNAcentral lists this ribosomal RNA (460 nucleotides) under uncultured bacterium. RNAcentral's name for it is "partial 16S ribosomal RNA". It matches the Rfam family "Bacterial small subunit ribosomal RNA", at positions 338 to 795 of the family's 1533-position model. The record is from RNAcentral.
CCUACGGGUGGCAGCAGUGAGGAAUAUUGGUCAAUGGACGCGAGUCUGAACCAGCCAUGCAGCGUGCAGGAUGACUGCUCUAUGGGUUGUAAACUUCUUUUAUAUGGGAAUAAAUCCCGGUACGCAUAUCCUCUUGUAUGUAUCAUAUGAAUAAGGAUCGGCUAACUCCGUGCCAGCAGCCGCGGUAAUACGGAGGGUGCGAGCGUUAUCCGGAUUCACUGGGUUUAAAGGGAGCGUAGGCGGCCUGGUAAGUCUGUUGUGAAAGCCUGCGGCUCAACCCUGAAACUGCAGUGGAAACUGGCAGUCUGGAGUGCGGGAGAGGUGGGCGGAAUUCGUGGUGUAGCGGUGAAAUGCGUAGAUAUCACGAAGAACUCCGGUGGCGAAGGCAGCUCGCUGGACUGCGACUGACGCUGAUGCUCGAAAGUGUGGGUAUCGAACAGGAUUAGAUACCCGAGUAGUC